RNAcentral lists this ribosomal RNA (521 nucleotides) under uncultured Hanseniaspora. RNAcentral's name for it is "eukaryotic LSU rRNA". It matches the Rfam family "Eukaryotic large subunit ribosomal RNA", at positions 64 to 587 of the family's 3401-position model. Lineage: Eukaryota; Fungi; Ascomycota; Saccharomycetes; Saccharomycodales; Saccharomycodaceae. The record is from RNAcentral.
ACCAACAGGAUUACUUAGUAACGGCGAGUGAAGCGGUAAAGCUCAAAUUUGAAAUCUGGUACUUUCAGUGCCCGAGUUGUAACUUGUAGAAUUUGUCUUUGAUUAGGUCCUUGUCUAUGUUCCUUGGAACAGGACGUCAUAGAGGGUGAGAAUCCCGUUUGGCGAGGAUACCUUUUCUCUGUAAGACUUUUUCGAAGAGUCGAGUUGUUUGGGAAUGCAGCUCAAAGUGGGUGGUAAAUUCCAUCUAAAGCUAAAUAUUGGCGAGAGACCGAUAGCGAACAAGUACAGUGAUGGAAAGAUGAAAAGAACUUUGAAAAGAGAGUGAAAAAGUACGUGAAAUUGUUGAAAGGGAGGGGCAUUUGAUCAGACAUGGUGUUUUUGCAUGCACUCGCCUCUCGUGGGCUUGGGCCUCUCAAAAAUUUCACUGGGCCAACAUCAAUUUUGGCGGCAGGAAAAAUCUUUUGGAAUGUAGCUACCUCGGUAGUGUUAUAGCCUUUUGAAAUACUGUCAGCUGGGAUUGA